RNAcentral lists this long non-coding RNA (498 nucleotides) under Androctonus crassicauda. The record is from RNAcentral. Lineage: Eukaryota; Metazoa; Arthropoda; Arachnida; Scorpiones; Buthidae.
UCUUGAGGGAGGCUGGAGGGUCUUUAUGAGGAGGCGCUUUCGAAAGCGCUUCUUCAUGGAGAUUUUCUGGUUUCUUUCAAGAGAUUUUCUAGAAAUUUCCAGCUGCAACUUUGAGCCCAUCCUGAAGACCUGCAAAAGUUCUUUUAAACGUACGAGUUUAACAGACAGAAAUUCGAGUAACUAUGUAAGUUUAUCCAUAGAAAAUCUUUUAUCUACAAACAAUUUUGGCAGUCAGAAAUUUCUUCAUAGGGAUUUUCUGGUUUCUUUCGGGAGUUUCCUGUCGUGGUGCUGGUUGGUUCUGUGUUAUACUGAUAUUGGCAGUGUAUAGGUACGAAUUUAUAGUAGAACCUCAUGUAUAUAUUAAUGGAAUUUGCUUCUUUUUAAAGCAAUCUAUCCAUUCCCCUACGUCUGGAACCGAUCCGGCGUCGUGGCAUUUGACCUCGAUUUUUUUUUAUCGAUGGCGUGGUGACCUAAACACUUUUACACGGGUUGCUUUUC